AAGAUUUUAUUUGAAAUACAAGAGGGGUU
Molecule: non-coding RNA, 29 nt
Filed under: Cricetulus griseus (Chinese hamster)
Lineage: Eukaryota; Metazoa; Chordata; Mammalia; Rodentia; Cricetidae
Source: RNAcentral